GGCACUCUACUUUGAUGACACAUG
This 24-nucleotide non-coding RNA is filed under the name Arabidopsis thaliana (thale cress). The record is from RNAcentral. Lineage: Eukaryota; Viridiplantae; Streptophyta; Magnoliopsida; Brassicales; Brassicaceae.